UACGUAGGUGGCGAACGUUGUCCGGAUUCACUGGGCGUAAAGCGCGCGCAGGCGGACUGUUAAGUCUGAGGUAAAAGCUCCCGGCUCAACUGGGAGAAGCCCUUGGAUACUGACAGUCUUGAGACAUCUAGAGGAGAGUGGAAUUCCCGGUGUAGUGGUGGAAUGCGUAGAUAUCGGGAGGAACACCAGUGGCGAAAGCGGCUCUCUGGGGAUGUUCUGACGCUGAGGCGCGAAAGCGUGGGGAGCGAAC
RNAcentral lists this ribosomal RNA (250 nucleotides) under uncultured bacterium. RNAcentral's name for it is "partial 16S ribosomal RNA". It matches the Rfam family "Bacterial small subunit ribosomal RNA", at positions 524 to 773 of the family's 1533-position model. The record is from RNAcentral.